This 82-nucleotide transfer RNA is filed under the name Chrysochromulina sp. NIES-1333. Its description in RNAcentral is "tRNA-Leu". It matches the Rfam family "tRNA". Rfam says of the family: Transfer RNA (tRNA) molecules are approximately 80 nucleotides in length. Their secondary structure includes four short double-helical elements and three loops (D, anti-codon, and T loops). Further hydrogen bonds mediate the characteristic L-shaped molecular structure. tRNAs have two regions of fundamental functional importance: the anti-codon, which is responsible for specific mRNA codon recognition, and the 3' end, to which the tRNAs corresponding amino acid is attached (by aminoacyl-tRNA synthetases). tRNAs cope with the degeneracy of the genetic code in two manners: having more than one tRNA (with a specific anti-codon) for a particular amino acid; and 'wobble' base-pairing, i.e. permitting non-standard base-pairing at the 3rd anti-codon position. Lineage: Eukaryota; Haptophyta; Prymnesiales; Chrysochromulinaceae. The record is from RNAcentral.
UCGAUGCUGGUGAAAUUGGUAAACACGCUCGAUUUAAAAUUGAGUGCUUUUUAGCUUAAACGUUCGACUCGUUUGCUUCGAA